Manis javanica (Malayan pangolin) is the source of this 1426-nucleotide non-coding RNA. The record is from RefSeq and is a predicted model, not a curated record. NCBI's taxonomy places the organism in Eukaryota, Metazoa, Chordata, Mammalia, Pholidota, Manidae.
CCACCGGACUGCCAACCACAUCCAUGCCCUUCAGGAAAGUGGCAUGGUUUGACAUAGUAGCCCUGUGAGGACAGCCAAGCCCUGCUGGUGAUCAUUUGUGGAUGGCGAGGCCUCUGAAGCCUGGUCCAGAAUCAUUCUGUAGCGCUCCUAUGAACAGAGAUUGUCAGCACAAGGAAAAAGAAAACAAAGGAGACUUGCCUACUCUAAUUGCUGGGAUUCAAUGUGAAGGAUGUUGCCAAACACAAAUCAAGCUUAUCUAUUCAUUAGAGCAGCCUCCUUUUCCUCCUCCCCAUGGGGGAGACAGAUUUUCCAGGUGGCCAGGAGCUGUGUCUGUGCCAGUAACAGAAGCUAUGUCCUUCAUACCUGCACGGAGCACUCACGGCUGCUACCUACUGUGACAUUUCUGGGAAGAUACUGAAACUUUCGAUUAAGACAAAGCCUUUUGUCCUUAAAUGAUUGGAGAGAAGGCUCGGAAUGGCCUGGAAGGGGUGAGACUGCCAGAUGCUGCCCUGAUGUUCACGGUUGAUUUCAUGUCUCUCUGGGGAGCCAGGGAACACAGGGCACCAAAAGGCAAGAGCUUCGGUUUCCUUUCCCCUCCCUUGGCCAUAGAGCAGGUUGGAAAUACUCCUUGGGCUUCAAAGCAAAUGUACAGGGAGGUGUCUUUAAGAUCUUGGACAUAUACCUACUUCUCUGUCAUUAAACUGUCCAGGUUCCUUCUAACCUCUCAGUUGGUCCUAACUUUCAUUUCUAGUUCAUCCUCCCAAAUAUGUGGCUCUCCCAGGUUCUAUUUACGGUUCCCUUUUCUCUCACACCAAUGCCUCACUUCCUCCCCCAGCAUGUCCACUUCCACCCCAGCUCUCCAGCUCUCCAGCCCCUCUCUUCUGGACUCCAGGCCACAUGGCCAUCUCAGUGCGACCCAGACCUGUCUACUGCCGCCUGAGCCAAAUUACUCUGUCCUCUUUCUCCCUGACCUACUCCUCCCACGUCCCCCAUUCCUGUCAAUGGAACUAAAAUCCUCCCAGGCAUCCUGACUCCCAUCUCAGCAUUUCCAGGCUCCCCUCUCCCUCACUGCCCUCAUCAAACCCAUUGUUAGGUCCUGGCACUUGUAAUUCUACAGUGGGUUGCAAAGCCGGAAGUGCUCAGGGCCAGCAGGUGACACAUGAGCUAAGUGCCCAGGGAGGGGCAGGGGUGGUGGAAGGGGACAUGCCCCAUCUGGACAGGACAGCUGUGACUCAGCUCUCCUCUUCCCCAGCUGACUGUUGCCUUCUCAGGACGUGGGCACAGAUCUGUCCAUUUUUAAAUGAAGUCUAUACAUCUAGAUUUAUUUGGAAUUCCCUUUUUAAAAAAUGCUGGCAAUUACUUGCACCUUUUGAAAUCCCUGUAUGCACCAAAUAAAACAAGUCUGUGACCUCAGGGCUUCAGCCUC